Molecule: transfer RNA, 72 nt
Filed under: Ovis aries (sheep)
Lineage: Eukaryota; Metazoa; Chordata; Mammalia; Artiodactyla; Bovidae
Also listed under: 2 other names
Rfam family: tRNA
About the family: Transfer RNA (tRNA) molecules are approximately 80 nucleotides in length. Their secondary structure includes four short double-helical elements and three loops (D, anti-codon, and T loops).
Source: Rfam by way of RNAcentral
UCCCAGGUGGCUCAGACAGUAAAGAAUCUGCCUGCAAUGCAGGAGACCCAGCUUCGAUCCCUGGGUUGGGAA